UUUCUCCGGAGAAGCCCGGGCAGAGCCCCGGGUGCCGAAGGUGCAACACUCGCGGGACAGCGUGUGAAUCUCUCAGGCAGAAGGACGGAUGGG
This 93-nucleotide non-coding RNA is filed under the name uncultured Eubacterium sp. RNAcentral's name for it is "Glycine riboswitch". It matches the Rfam family "Glycine riboswitch aptamer", at positions 10 to 85 of the family's 94-position model. Rfam says of the family: This family represents the bacterial glycine riboswitch. Glycine riboswitches usually consist of two metabolite-binding aptamers domains with similar structures in tandem. The record is from RNAcentral. Lineage: Bacteria; Bacillati; Bacillota; Clostridia; Eubacteriales; Eubacteriaceae.